Long non-coding RNA from Homarus americanus (American lobster), 827 nucleotides. RefSeq lists it as uncharacterized. The transcript has 2 exons. The record is from RefSeq and is a predicted model, not a curated record. NCBI's taxonomy places the organism in Eukaryota, Metazoa, Arthropoda, Malacostraca, Decapoda, Nephropidae.
UUCAGUUUUAUUCUUGUCUUUGAGAGCUCAAUCACUACUUAGUUUGAAAAGACAAACUUAGCAGAUUAAAAUGAGUUCGAAGCCUCAUUUUCAAAUGCCACUGUGUAGAGUAACUUAGUCUGUCGAUUUCUCUGUAAGUGACAACUUGGUAACUCACGGUUAGGAGACGCUGGGUGGAAGAGAGUCAGCGGGCCCAUGAUCUCACUUCACCCAAGAUUUCCAUCCUGUACACAGGUCCCUGUAGGCCAUGGGGUGUGCCCAGACGAUGUCCAUGUCGUCCAGCAUCAUUGUUAGAGAAGGAUGGAGGAGGCCUUAAGAGCAGAUAACAUCACGUUACGCAGGCCCGCAGCCAAGCUCAGCCAGCAGCCGAGAGACUGUUGGCCUGGGCACGUUCACCAUCCACUUGUUGCUCACCCGCGACGUAAACAUGACCCGCUAUGUACAGAUUACUUCGGGUGUGUUAUUCGUUCGAGAUUUCAUGUGUAUAAUCUCCUCUGUGCUAUGUAGUGUGUGUGUACCUGUGGUGCUAAGAAUGAGCGGCAGUACCUGUAUGUAUUGUGGAUAUUAAUGAAGGUUCCUUAAUCGGAUGCUGUUGAGUAUGUUGGUGCUAUUGAGUAUUUCUGGGUGAUAUUGGGGAAGGAAUGUCCUAGGUAAAGAGGUCAAUGAUUUGGUAUGGGGAGAGAAGACCUUAAUUAACUGUUUGGAGAAGGUCAGGUAUUUUUGUGUGGUGCAGUGACCUUAAUUGUUUGGGGAAGGUCAACUAUUUUUGUAUUGUGAUUGAAUGCAAUAUAUUUUUUCAUAUUAAGAAAUAAAGUAGUUAGACUCUU